GGGUGGGUGCUCGAGUGGUUGAAGAGGCACGCCUGGAACGCGUGUAAAUCGCAAGGUUUCGAGGGUUCGAAUCCCUCUCCACCCGCCA
Molecule: transfer RNA, 88 nt
Filed under: Helicobacter sp.
Lineage: Bacteria; Pseudomonadati; Campylobacterota; Epsilonproteobacteria; Campylobacterales; Helicobacteraceae
Description: tRNA-Ser
Rfam family: tRNA
About the family: Transfer RNA (tRNA) molecules are approximately 80 nucleotides in length.
Source: RNAcentral